GACGAACGCUGGCGGCGUGCCUAAUACAUGCAAGUAGAACGCUGAAGAGAGGAGCUUGCUCUUCUUGGAUGAGUUGCGAACGGGUGAGUAACGCGUAGGUAACCUGCCUUGUAGCGGGGGAUAACUAUUGGAAACGAUAGCUAAUACCGCAUAACAAUGGAUGACACAUGUCAUUUAUUUGAAAGGGGCAAUUGUUCCACUACAAGAUGGACCUGCGUUGUAUUAGCUAGUAGGUGAGGUAAUGGCUCACCUAGGCGACGAUACAUAGCCGACCUGAGAGGGUGAUCGGCCACACUGGGACUGAGACACGGCCCAGACUCCUACGGGAGGCAGCAGUAGGGAAUCUUCGGCAAUGGGGGCAACCCUGACUGAGCAACGCCGCGUGAGUGAAGAAGGUUUUCGGAUCGUAAAGCUCUGUUGUAAGUCAAGAACGGGUGUGAGAGUGGAAAGUUCACACUGUGACGGUAGCUUACCAGAAAGGGACGGCUAACUACGUG
This 497-nucleotide ribosomal RNA is filed under the name uncultured bacterium. Its description in RNAcentral is "partial 16S ribosomal RNA". It matches the Rfam family "Bacterial small subunit ribosomal RNA", at positions 28 to 507 of the family's 1533-position model. The record is from RNAcentral.